UUGGAUUUCGGGUAGGGGGCGCCGGUCCGCUUCGGUGUGCACUGGCGGCCCAUACCUUCUUGUCGGGGAUGCGCUCUGGUAUUGGUUUAUCGGACGCAGAGUCGGGGCUGUUACUUUGAAAAAAUUAGAGUGUUCAAAGGAGGGUUUCGCUUGAAUACAUUAGCAUGGAAUAACAUGAUAGGACUCCGGUUCCAUUGUGUUGGUCUUCGGGACUGGAGUAAUGAUUAAGAGGGACAGUUGGGGGGAUUCGUAUUUCAUUGUCAGAGGUGAAAUUCUUGGAUUUAUGAAAGACGAACUUCUGGGAAAGCAUUUGGCAAGGAUGUUUUCAUUAAUCAAGAACGAAAGUUGGGGGGUCGAAGAUGAUUAGAUACAUCGUAGUCUCAACUAUAAACGAUGGCCGACUAGGGAUUGGCGGAUGUUACUUGAUGAUUUUGCCGGAUUUUGUGAGAAAUUAAAGUUUUUGGGUUCCGGGGGGAGUAUGGUCGCAAGGGUGAAAUUUAAAGGAAUUGACGGAAGGGGACCACCAUGGCGUGGAGCCUGGGGCUUAAUUUGACUCAACACGGGGAAACUUACCAGGUCCAGACACAAUAAUGAUUGACAGAUUGAUAGCUCUUUCUUGAUUCUGUGGGUGGUGGUGCAUGGCCGUUCUUAGUUGGUGGAUUGAUUUGUC
RNAcentral lists this ribosomal RNA (670 nucleotides) under uncultured prasinophyte. RNAcentral's name for it is "SSU rRNA". It matches the Rfam family "Eukaryotic small subunit ribosomal RNA", at positions 634 to 1315 of the family's 1831-position model. The record is from RNAcentral. Lineage: Eukaryota; Viridiplantae; Chlorophyta.